AGAAUCAACGCUGGCGGCGUGCCUCAGACAUGCAAGUCGAACGAUUAAAGCUCUCUUCGGAGAGUGUAUAGAGUGGCGCACGGGUGAGUAACACGUAAGUAAUCUACCUUUGAGUGGGGAAUAACAUCGGGAAACCGAUGCUAAUACCGCAUAAUGCAGCGGCAUCGCAAGAUGACAGUUGUUAAAGAUUUUAUCGCUUGAAGAGGAGCUUGCGGCAGAUUAGCUUGUUGGUAAGGUAACGGCUUACCAAGGCUACGAUCUGUAACCGGUCUAAGAGGACGGUCGGUCACACUGACACUGAAUAACGGGUCAGACUCCGUACGGGAGGCAGCAGGUCGGGUAAUUUUGGGACAAGUGGGACGAAAGUCCUAGACCCAGCAACGCCGCGUAGAAGG
Molecule: ribosomal RNA, 395 nt
Filed under: uncultured soil bacterium
Lineage: Bacteria
Description: bacterial SSU rRNA
Rfam family: Bacterial small subunit ribosomal RNA
Source: RNAcentral